This 253-nucleotide ribosomal RNA is filed under the name uncultured bacterium. RNAcentral describes it as "partial 16S ribosomal RNA". It matches the Rfam family "Bacterial small subunit ribosomal RNA", at positions 524 to 776 of the family's 1533-position model. The record is from RNAcentral.
UACGUAGGGUGCAAGCGUUGUCCGGAAUUAUUGGGCGUAAAGAGCCCGUAGGCGGUUUGUCGCGUCGACUGUGAAAACCCGAGGCUUAACCUCGGGCCUGCAUUCGAUACGGGCAGACUAGAGUUCGGUAGGGGAGUCUGGAAUUCCUGGUGUAGCGGUGAAAUGCGCAGAUAUCAGGAGGAACACCGGUGGCGAAGGCGGGACUCUGGGCCGAUACUGACGCUGAGGAGCGAAAGCGUGGGGAGCAAACAGG